UACGGAGGAGGCAAGCGGUAUCCGGAAUUAUUGGGCGUAAAGCGUCCGUAGGUGGUUGGCCAAGUCUGCUGUCAAAGGGUGGGGCUUAACCUCAUAAAGGCAGUGGAAACUGGCGAGCUAGAGUGCGGUAGGGGUAGGGGGAAUUACCAGUGUAGCGGUGAAAUGCGUAGAGAUUGGGAAGAACAUCGGUGGCGAAUGCGUCCUGCUGGGCCUGCACUGACACUGAGUGACGAAAGCUAGUGGAGCGAAAGGG
RNAcentral lists this ribosomal RNA (253 nucleotides) under uncultured bacterium. Its description in RNAcentral is "partial 16S ribosomal RNA". It matches the Rfam family "Bacterial small subunit ribosomal RNA", at positions 524 to 776 of the family's 1533-position model. The record is from RNAcentral.